AUGAACAUGUGUUGUCGUGAUAAGGUGGAGAAGGGCCUUCUGCCCUUCAUGGCCCACAUGACGAUAACAAAUGCUCUUGUUGACAUGAAUGGCCUCAUGAUGAGGCUCUUGUUUGACCUAUAUGCCAUAACCAUCUUUAGUGUAGACUCAGCUCGCUUGUCCCUUGACAUGCCGGCAGUGCACGUCGCGGAUGCAAUGGACAUAGUCAUGGAAGUGGCCUUCCUCCAACACAUUGUGCCAGCAUUUUUUUGGAAGGUGAUGAGGCUCCUGGACAUUGGUCCGGAGAGGAAGCUCGCCUCCGCGCAAGCGGUGCUACGCUCCUUUACAAUGGACAUGGUCAUGAAGAGGAGGGGGAACAACCAUGUUAUUGUUCAAGAGGUACCCCUGGACAUUUUGUCCAAUUAUGUCAAUGACCCAAGAUACAAUGAUGAUUUACUCCAGGCAACUCUCAUUACCUACAUGAUCGCCGAGAGGGACACGAUCGGGACUACCUUGCUAUGGGUCAUCUACAACCUCGCCAAGAACCCACACGUCGUGUCGAGCAUACGUGAUGAACUAGCAUCUAUCAUAUCCCGCAGACAAUCCAUUGCAGGUGCCACCAUGAAGAUGUUGGAUCUAGAGGAGGUCAAAGCCCUAGUUUAUUUGCAAGCCACCAUACUGGAGACACUCAGGUUGUACCCGCCGAUCCCUAUCGAGCGCAAGUCUGUUGUCGCCAAUGAUGUAAUGCCAAGUGGCCACGAGGUGUGUGCCCGAGACAUCAUCGUCGUCUCCAUCUACUCCAUCGGUAGAAUGGAGUCUGUCUGGGGAGCUGACUUUCGAGAGUACAGGCCAAAGAGGUGGCUCUCAGAGGAUGGACGCCAGCUGCGACACGUGCCCUCUCACAAGUUUUGGCGUUUAACUCAGGCCCAAGGUUGUGCCUUGGCAAGCUGCCAAGAUAUUGCAAUCAUGUAG
Molecule: ribosomal RNA, 951 nt
Filed under: Triticum aestivum (bread wheat)
Lineage: Eukaryota; Viridiplantae; Streptophyta; Magnoliopsida; Poales; Poaceae
Description: partial small subunit ribosomal RNA
Source: RNAcentral